RNAcentral lists this ribosomal RNA (390 nucleotides) under Achromobacter xylosoxidans. Its description in RNAcentral is "bacterial LSU rRNA". It matches the Rfam family "Bacterial large subunit ribosomal RNA", at positions 341 to 732 of the family's 2925-position model. The record is from RNAcentral. Lineage: Bacteria; Pseudomonadati; Pseudomonadota; Betaproteobacteria; Burkholderiales; Alcaligenaceae.
GCCGGAAAGUCCGGCCGUAGCAGGUGAUAGCCCUGUAGGCGAAAUCUUGUGUGUGGAACUAAGCGUAAGAAAAGUAGGGCGGGACACGUGAAAUCCUGUUUGAAGAUGGGGGGACCAUCCUCCAAGGCUAAAUACUCGUGAUCGACCGAUAGUGAACCAGUACCGUGAGGGAAAGGCGAAAAGAACCCCGGAAGGGGAGUGAAAUAGAUCCUGAAACCGUAUGCAUACAAACAGUAGGAGCCUCCUUGUGGGGUGACUGCGUACCUUUUGUAUAAUGGGUCAGCGACUUACAUUCAGUGGCAAGGUUAACCGAAUAGGGAAGCCGUAGCGAAAGCGAGUCCGAAUAGGGCGAUUCAGUCGCUGGGUGUAGACCCGAAACCAGAUGAUCUA